UGCGUAGGGGGCAAGCGUUGUCCGGAUUUAUUGGGCGUAAAGAGCGUGUAGGCGGCCAGACAGGUCCGUUGUGAAAACUCGAGGCUCAACCUCGAGAUGUCGAUGGAAACCGUCUGGCUAGAGUCCGGAAGAGGAGUGUGGAAUUCCUGGUGUAGCGGUGAAAUGCGCAGAGAUCAGGAGGAACACCCGUGGCGAAGGCGGCCCUCUGGCUCGACCCUGACGCUGAGGCGCGAAAGCGUGGGGAGCGAACGGG
This 253-nucleotide ribosomal RNA is filed under the name uncultured bacterium. Its description in RNAcentral is "partial 16S ribosomal RNA". It matches the Rfam family "Bacterial small subunit ribosomal RNA", at positions 524 to 776 of the family's 1533-position model. The record is from RNAcentral.